UGAACGCUGGCGGCGUGCCUAACACAUGCAAGUCGCACGAGAACGCUUCAGCUUGCUGAGGCAAGUAAAGUGGCGAACGGGUGAGUAACGCGUGGGUAAUCUACCUCCGAAUUGGGGAUAACAUUGCGAAAGCGGUGCUAAUACCGAAUAAUAUCCCUGAGACCCAGGUCUUGGUGAUCAAAGGUGGCCUCUACAUGUAAGCUACUGUUUGGAGAUGAGCCCGCGUACCAUUAGCUUGUUGGUAGGGUAACGGCCUACCAAGGCUGCGAUGGUUAGCUGGUCUGAGAGGAUGAUCAGCCACACUGGAACUGACACACGGUCCAGACUCCUACGGGAGGCAGCAGUGAGGAAUUUUGCGCAAUGGGGGAAACCCUGACGCAGCAACGCCGCGUGAGUGAUGAAGGCCUUCGGGUCGUAAAGCUCUGUCAAGUGGGAAGAACCUGCCUGAUGAUAAUACCAUCGGGCACCGACGGUACCACUGAAGGAAGCACCGGCUAACUCC
Molecule: ribosomal RNA, 502 nt
Filed under: uncultured bacterium
Lineage: Bacteria
Description: bacterial SSU rRNA
Rfam family: Bacterial small subunit ribosomal RNA
Source: RNAcentral